Eriocheir sinensis (Chinese mitten crab) is the source of this 6760-nucleotide long non-coding RNA. RefSeq lists it as uncharacterized. The record is from RefSeq and is a predicted model, not a curated record. The transcript has 2 exons. NCBI's taxonomy places the organism in Eukaryota, Metazoa, Arthropoda, Malacostraca, Decapoda, Varunidae.
UAAAGGAAAGUCGUGCCUCACUAAUCUUACAUCCUUUUACAAUAGAGUAUAUGAGGCAGCUGACAAUGAUGAGAGCUAUGAUGUGGUUUAUCUUGAUUUUAGUAAGGCCUUCGAUAAGGUACCUCACCAGAGACUGUUAAAUAAAGUCAGGGCUCAUGGGAUAAGAGGGAAGGUAUUUGAUUGGAUUAAGGCGUGGAUUAGCGACAGGAAACAGAGGGUUACCAUUAACGGUAAAAAAUCCGAAUGGGGUAAUGUUACCAGUGGGGUUCCUCAAGGUUCAGUUUUUGGCCCGCUUUUAUUCAUUAUCUACAUCAAUGACAUAAACAAUGGGAUAACUAUAGUGAUAUAGGUAAAUUUGCAGAUGACACCAAAAUAGGACGCACUAUUAGGACAGGCCGGGGAGGAUGCUAGAGCACUGCAGGAGGAUCUCAACAAACUGUCAGCUUGGUCAGAGAAAUGGCAUUUGAAUUUUAACAUCACCAAGUGUAGCGUACUUAGGGUAGGAACACGCAACCCAUUACACGGGUAUAGUUUAGGCUCCACAGCGAUAGGCAGGUCUGAGUGUGAAAGGGAUUUGGGAGUGUUAGUGAACUCUGACCUAAAACUAAGGAAGCAAUGUAUUAGUGCGAGGAAUAGGGCUAACAGGGUAUUAGGCUUUAUUAACAGGACGGUAACCAAUAGGAGUGCAGAGGUCAUCCUCAGACUCUAUUUAGCGUUAGUUAGGCCACACUUAGAUUAUGCUGUCCAGUUUUGGUGCCCACACUACAGAAUGGACAUCAACUUGCUAGAAUCAGUUCAGAGGAGGAUGACCAAGAUGAUUCAGGGGCUGAGGAACCUCCCAUAUCAAAAUAGGCUGAAACAUCUAAACUUAUACAUUCAUUAGAGAGACGAAGAGUGCGGGGAGAUCUGAUAGAAAUAUUCCAAAUGGGUCAAGGGUUACUACAAAGGCGAUAUAAGUAAACUACUGAGAAUUAGCCAGCAGGAUAGAACUCGCAGUAAUGGAUUUAAAUUAGAAAAGUAUAGAUUUAGGAGAGAUAUAGGCAAGCAUUGGUUUAGUAAUAGGGUGGUGGGGGAAUGGAAUAGACUCAGCAAUCACAUAGUUAGUGCAGGGACGAUAGCUUGUUUUAAGAGUAGACUGGAUAGCUACAUGGACGAGGACGACAGGUGGCAAUGAGGUGUGGGUGCAGUAAGGUGACGGGGUACUGGAUGCGUGCCUAGUACCGCCGGUAUAACGAGGAUCAAGACCUGGUAACCCCUGUUACUACACCUCACCCAUCCAGGAAUACAGAACAUGGAAGAGCCGGGCAGAGUAACACGUGACACAGCGGAGAUAUACCACACCUUGGAAGAGCCUUGACUAACUAACCAACCAACUGACUGACUGACUGACUGGUGGAGCGCCUCUCUUCCGCUCACCCAUCUACGAGAGGUCGAGAUAUAGGUUUAAAGAGACGCUACCCCAAGGUCAAGUAUACAAAAUUUCUAGCUGAGGUCAUGACAAGAUUUACCAUAAAAACUUUUGUGUUAUGAUGUUAUUUGAACCUCCACUACAUAUGACAAAUUUACAGAGAGAAAUAGAUAUAAUGAAUGAUUAGAGAUUAUUAUGAUGUAUUGAAAUAGGUACAAUAAUUAGUCUGAAAGAAAGAGAUACAAUAAAUGAUUAGAAAAAUUAUUAUGAUUUAUUGAAAUUAGUAACUGAGUGCAAUGAUGAGUCUGAAAGAGAUAUUUACUUGGAGUGAGGUGUGUGUGUGUGUUAGUGUGUUAAGAUUUUAUGUCCCAAGAAGUGCAUUACGACACCAACCACCACAUACAACCAAUACAUAAUACAGCAAAGUGGAGGCCUGCAUACUAGGACCUUGGGAUAUCCUGUUCCCUCUUAACCUACAUCUCAUCACGCACCGCAGAGCUGACACACGCGCAGCCAUUCUCAUGAGAUCUAGCAUUGCGCAUUGUUUUCCAGUAUGAUAAUUAUUAAAAUCUUACAUGACGGCAGCGAGACCAUUCAUCUGCUAUGUUGGUUCAGCAGGUUUGUUACUGGUAUAUUUUGAUUAGCAUUUUUAUACACACAUUAAGAAAUAGCAAGCAGGUCAUGUCUUGUAUAUAUGUACACGUAUGCAUCACUCUGAUUAGAACUCGUAUCAUGAUAAAAUUGAUCGACUGAGGUAUAUGAUCAUGGUGGUAAAUCUACAAUGGUCAUAAGACACCAGAUAUUUAGGUAAGGGAAGGGAAGGGAAGGUAGUACUAGGUUAGGUAAGGGAAAGGAAAGGAGGGGGAGGGAAGGGAAUGGAAGGAAAGGGAAGGGAUGGGAUUGGAUGGGAUGGGAUGGGAAGGGAAGAUAAGGUCAAGUAAGGUAAGGUAAAGGAAGCAGCUCAAGGGCAAAAAACAAAGAAUAAAACAAAAAUUCUCACUAAGCACUGCUCCUAUAAGAGCCAACAAUGUGUGACCAGAAGAGAAAACUGGGAAACUUGGGAAAACUGAGCAAAGGUACAAAACUGAAGAGAAUAUAUAUCAGUCAGUCCUAACUUUGGUGAUACAACUCAAAUAUACACGUCAAUUAAAUUUUCAGAGUACAUAGCUAUUCUUGACAUGAGUAUUAAUUAGAGGAACACAUACGUACUGGCAAACAUGACCUAACCAAUUCUGUAUAUUCCAGGGUUGUGUCGGUAGUUUUGGGGGAUAGACAACCACGUAACAGAUGACUGGCCCAGCGUCUAGUGGUGAAGCAACGGUGUGAUAACGGUGAACAGAAUCAAGGGUCAUAAUGAGGAUAGAAAGCUCAUUAUAACACCGCUUGAUAAUCCACAUAGUCUUGUAUACAGCUUAAUGAUAUAAUGUAGUGUGUGUGUGGGUCCCAUCAACACACGAACACACACAAACACACACACACAAUCACAUAUAGCUUUACCCAUUUCUCUCAUGCUUUAGACAGAAAUCUUUACAAAGCUCACACACACACACACAUACACACACACACAAAAGCUGUAUUUAGUCCUAUCCAUUUCCUCUGAACUGUAGACACAAAUCUAUACAAAAUACAAAGUAAUGCACAAACAGGUAACAAUGAACUAAUACCUGUCCUGCCUUUGUAUAUUAGCUUUUAGGGUGGACACAGGUAAAAUAAUCAAGGUGUAUACAGGUGGACAUUUAUGUACGGUGAGCCUUUACUGGUUUUAAAUGACGGGCUGGAAAUGAGACUGGAAAAUAUACUGCUAAAAAGUCUUAUACUAUGGUUAAAAUUUGUAUACUUUGUCGUCUUCCUGUUAAUCUCUGUGUGGUAUUAUCAUACAUACUCAUUUAAAAGCCAAGUAUUUUCCGUGAGUUAUGAUUUUACGGGUUCAAUUUUUGCAUGACUAUUACGUACUCAGCUUGUCUGUGGCUUACUUUGUCAUCUACAUGUUAAUCAUACAUACUCAUUUGAAAGCCGAGUGUGUUUUGUGAGUUGUGAUUUCAGGGGUUCAAAUUUUGCCUGAAUAGUACUGAACUUUUCCAGGGCUUGAAUUCAUCCCUCAAUUAAAUAUAAACGUAUCCUUGGGGGGUGAACUUUGGCAUGGAUAUUACUUUUCAGAGGCAUAAGUUAUCCCUCAAUCUAACAUAAUCGUAUCCUUGUGGGGGGUGAAUUUUGGCAUGGAUAUUACUUUUCAGAGGCAUAAGUUAUCCCUCAAUCUAACAUAAUCGUAUCCUUGUGGGGGGUGAAUUUUGGCAUGGAUAUUACUUUUCAGAGGCAUAAGUUAUCCCUCAAUCAUAACUAUAUUCCUCGGAGUCGACUGUACAACCAAUUCUGUAUAUCCCAGGGUUGUGUUGGUAGUCUUGGGGGAUAGACAACCACGUAACAGAUGACUGGCCCGGCGUCUGGUGGUGAAGCAACAGUGUGAUAACGGUGAACAUAAUCAAGGGUCGUGAUGAGAGGAUAGAAAGCUCCUCAUAACACUACUUGAUAAUUCACAUAGUAAUACACAGGUUGUUCUCAUUUGUCAUUAUUUCUCCCAUGUACGUACGUGUUUCUUUAGCUACUCAGUCACAGUCAAGAUGGUUGGUUCUUCCUUAAAUGAUUAAACACCAGAAUAUUGAUAGAAAGCUCAUCAUAACACCGCUUGAUAAUUCACAUAGUAAUACACAGGUUGUUCUCAUUUGUCAUUAUUUCUCCCAUGUACGUACAAUAGUUUCUUUAGCUACUCAGUCACAGUCAAGAUGGUUGGUUCUUCCUUACUGAUUAAACACCAUUGACACUAAUACACUUCCUGCCUGGUAAAUAAUACAUACAUCCCCGUUUUGUGUGUGGGGCCUCGACUCUUACCCGAAAUCAACUUUUACAUGAAUAAUGAAUGUAAAUAUAUAUGAACCCUUAGACGGCAGCUGUAUUUGAAGAGUAGCUCCGCAAAAUUGAAUGGUCUAUAUAUAGUCACUGCCGACCUUAGACCGUAGCAUAAAUAGUUACGCUGCAUAAUAGAUGUUUUAACUAUUGUCUAUGUAUAGAUUCUACCGCAAUCUGGAAGUGUUGUUAUAUUUCUGGCAUACAAAACUGACUGACUGAAUUUUGGAUCGUCUGUACAUAGUUCCACCGCCGUCUAAGGAUUAAACUAUUCUUUAGAUAUAAUUUAGUCUGUUGAGCCAUGUUAGCACACUCCUGAUAUAUGGAUUGUUGAUUUAUUUGCUUUAUUACCUUAUUUUGAGCUGCUUCUACCUGCACACACACACACUCAUGGUGCAAGCUUAUUUAUGAAACUAAAACCACAGGUGUAACUUUGCUUCCUGAACCUUCCUACCAAAUAAACAACAACUGCAUAUCCAGCUCUGUAAUCCUUAUGAGAAAACAAUAACUCCAAAACAGCUUCUAUAACUGUGCAUGUAACUAAUAAAUAAUAAUAAUAGAAAAACAAAACAAUCUUACUAACAUCUCGACUAAUCUUACAUCCAUACAGGUAUAGAUAAUCACUUACGUAUAAUUAUAUACUGUUAUAAAUAGUUAAAAUAGAUAUGUAUAAACUUGCAAAUACCACCAUCAGUCUUGCUUACACUGCAUACUAGCACCCAGAUGAGAGAAAAAGAGAUAAAUAGACAGAGAAAAAAAAAGGGAGAAUGCCUCUACUCCUAAAGACAGACUCUAGCAUGAAAGUCACAACCUACACCAGCCAAGCCAGAAACACAAACUCCUCACCUCAGAAUUACAAGAAACCUACAAAUCUCGCUUCUUUCUAUAUACUAGUGAGCCACAGACCUCCCUCUUUACGACAACAGCCUCAAGUCGAAAGAUAGUUAAGCUACGACCCCUACGAUGUGCCCUAACCCACUCAUAGUCAUUGAUGCAUGUAUAGGUUACGUGCAAAAAUAUGUAGAGUAUCAGGGUUUGGCUGUGAGAAUGAGUGCUGUUUGUCAUGAGCCUCUCUAUGCUUAUGUGGUGUCUGAUGCGCUGAUAGGCAAAGAGAUAAUAUGAAAGCAAUACUAAAGGGGAAAUUUUGUUAAGUGUAUGUAUAGGGUUUGUGUGAGUGAAGAGCUGUUUGUUAUGAGCUUGUCUGUACAUAUGUGUUGUCUGAUACGCUGAAUAGGCAGAUAUAAUGUGAAAGCAAUGCAAAAAGAGUGCAGUUUUGUCAAGUGAAGGAAAAAAGUGAAUAUUGUGAAAAAGAUUUGUUUGUGGAUUGACUUUGGGGAAAUGUAAUGAAUGCAGUAUGAGAGGGAUGUUUGAUGUAUUGAAUGAGCAAUGCGGUAUUAAUGAAUUUGAGAAUGAGAAGGAAAGGAAGUGAAAACUGUGAAAGAGAUAUGUUUGUGGAUUUGAGAACGAGGAAGAGGAGUGAGGAACAGCAUGUAAAAAAGAAGUUAUAGGGUUUGUGUCGAUAGGAAAGCAAAGCAAAAGUAGCUGUUCAAUUUGGUGACCUAGUUGAAUUUACGGUUAUCCAGUGAAUGCAAAAUGAGAGAUUACAGCCGUGACUACCGAGUGCGAUCUUUGAGUGUAAGUGAUGUGAUGGGAAAGAGUGAAACAGCCACAAAGCAAAGGAAUAAUAACAGAAUGAUCUAAUUUUUGUAAGUGAUAUGAAUGACGAAAAAAGCAAAUCGCCAUUGAAAUAAAGGAGUGAGUGAUAUGAAUGCCGUAAAAAAAAGUCAAUCGUCAAUAAAGUGAAAAAAAAAAAAGUAUAAAUAUCUUCUUAGGGAGGUGUGAAGAUAUAUUAAAUUUGAGGUUCUUAAAAAAAUAUGGCAAUAGCUGCUGUGAUUUUCCUAUAACGUAAAAUAAAUAAUGACCUGGAGAUAGAUACAUAAAUAGAUAGAUAGAUAGGAAGAUAGAUAGAUAUAGAGACAGAACAGAAAGAGAAAAGACAGAACAGAGAGAGUUAGACAGAACAGAGAGAGUAAGGCAGAACAGAGAGAGUAAGGCAGAACAGAGAGAUAACAAAUACAAAAAACUUAUGAUAAAUGUAAUACUCUUAUGAUUCAAACACUCUCGCCUAAAGAAAACGUCCCAAUAACUUGGUCUGGGAGGAGCUGGGAGCGACGCGUACUGGAAACAAGAGACCCUCAACAUAAAUAUUUGUACUGGCGGGGAGUAAGAAAAUAUAUAGAGAUUCCUUUGAGGUAAAUUGCACAAAUAAAUAACCCCCUUUGUAAACGCACGGAGCACAAGAUAAAACGAUAAAUACUGCACGUUCGGACUCGCAUUUCUCGGUCCCUUCUCGAACCUGAGGAAGUGAACACAACAAAUGAGAUUAAGUAUAAAUAAUCAACCUAUAAUUUACUUUUCAAAACGGCACACUUGAAAAAAAAAAAAGGAAAA